AAUAAGUACAGCCAUGAGUUUCCGUGUCCAACUUUGAUCAUCUGUCUUAUUUAAAAUUUUUUAUAAUUAGCAUUUUUGUUGUUAUAAUAUGAUAAAAUAUGAAUAGUACUUUACUCAUGAUUUAUGUUUUUAAUUUUUUUAAAAAAAUUUUCAAAUAAGACGAAUGAUCAAAGUUGAGUACGAAAAACCAUGGCUGCACUUAUU
Oryza glumipatula is the source of this 204-nucleotide non-coding RNA. Lineage: Eukaryota; Viridiplantae; Streptophyta; Magnoliopsida; Poales; Poaceae. The record is from Rfam.